This 2702-nucleotide ribosomal RNA is filed under the name Acinetobacter baumannii. Its description in RNAcentral is "partial 23S ribosomal RNA". It matches the Rfam family "Bacterial large subunit ribosomal RNA". The record is from RNAcentral. Lineage: Bacteria; Pseudomonadati; Pseudomonadota; Gammaproteobacteria; Moraxellales; Moraxellaceae.
GUGAAACAUCUCAGUACCCUUAGGAAAAGAAAUCAAUUGAGAUUCCCUCAGUAGCGGCGAGCGAACGGGGAUCAGCCCAUUAAGUUAUGUGUGUUUUAGUGGAACGCUCUGGGAAGUGCGAACGUAGAGGGUGAUAUUCCCGUACACGAAAGGGCACACAUAAUGAUGACGAGUAGGGCGAGGCACGUGAAACCUUGUCUGAAUAUGGGGGGACCAUCCUCCAAGGCUAAAUACUCCUGACUGACCGAUAGUGAACCAGUACCGUGAGGGAAAGGCGAAAAGAACCCCUGUGAGGGGAGUGAAAUAGAUCCUGAAACCGCAUGCAUACAAGCAGUGGGAGCACCUUCGUGGUGUGACUGCGUACCUUUUGUAUAAUGGGUCAGCGACUUAUAUUCAGUAGCGAGGUUAACCGUAUAGGGGAGCCGUAGAGAAAUCGAGUCUUAAUAGGGCGUUUAGUUGCUGGGUAUAGACCCGAAACCAGGCGAUCUAUCCAUGAGCAGGUUGAAGGUUGGGUAACACUAACUGGAGGACCGAACCCACUGUCGUUGAAAAGCCAGGGGAUGACUUGUGGAUAGGGGUGAAAGGCUAAUCAAGCCUGGUGAUAGCUGGUUCUCCCCGAAAGCUAUUUAGGUAGCGCCUCGGACGAAUACCAUAGGGGGUAGAGCACUGUUUCGGCUAGGGGGUCAUCCCGACUUACCAAACCGAUGCAAACUCCGAAUACCUAUGAGUACUAUCCGGGAGACAGACUGCGGGUGCUAACGUCCGUAGUCAAGAGGAAAACAAUCCAGACCGCCAGCUAAGGCCCCAAAAUCAUAGUUAAGUGGGAAACGAUGUGGGAAGGCAUAGACAGCUAGGAGGUUGGCUUAGAAGCAGCCACCCUUUAAAGAAAGCGUAAUAGCUCACUAGUCGAGUCGGCCUGCGCGGAAGAUGUAACGGGGCUAAAACUAUGUGCCGAAGCUGCGGAUGUAUACUUUGUAUACGUGGUAGGGGAGCGUUCUGUAAGCCGAUGAAGGUGUGUUGAGAAGCAUGCUGGAGGUAUCAGAAGUGCGAAUGCUGACGUGAGUAACGACAAAACGGGUGAAAAACCCGUUCGCCGAAAGACCAAGGGUUCCAGUCCAACGUUAAUCGGGGCUGGGUGAGUCGACCCCUAAGGCGAGGCCGAAAGGCGUAGUCGAUGGGAAAAUGGUUAAUAUUCCAUUACUUCUGUGUAAUGCGAUGAGAGGACGGAGAAGGCUAAAUCAGCCUGGCGUUGGUUGUCCAGGUGAAAGGAUGUAGGCAUGUAUCUUAGGCAAAUCCGGGGUACUCUAUGCUGAGAUCUGAUAGCAAGCUGUACUUGUACAGCGAAGUGGUUGAUGCCAUGCUUCCAGGAAAAGUCUCUAAGCUUCAGUUACACAGGAAUCGUACCCGAAACCGACACAGGUGGUCAGGUCGAGUAGACCAAGGCGCUUGAGAGAACUCUGCUGAAGGAACUAGGCAAAAUGGUACCGUAACUUCGGGAGAAGGUACGCUGUUGUUGGUGAUGGAACUCGCUUCCUGAGCUGACGACAGCCGCAGAAACCAGGCCGCUGCAACUGUUUAUUAAAAACAUAGCACUCUGCAAACACGAAAGUGGACGUAUAGGGUGUGAUGCCUGCCCGGUGCUGGAAGGUUAAUUGAUGGGGUUAGCGUAAGCGAAGCUCUUGAUCGAAGCCCCAGUAAACGGCGGCCGUAACUAUAACGGUCCUAAGGUAGCGAAAUUCCUUGUCGGGUAAGUUCCGACCUGCACGAAUGGCAUAAUGAUGGCGGCGCUGUCUCCAGCAGAGGCUCAGUGAAAUCGAAAUCGCUGUGAAGAUGCAGUGUACCCGCGGCUAGACGGAAAGACCCCGUGAACCUUUACUGCAGCUUGACACUGAACUUUGACCUUACUUGUGUAGGAUAGGUGGGAGGCUUUGAAGCUGGAACGCUAGUUCCAGUGGAGCCGUCCUUGAAAUACCACCCUGGUAAUGUUGAGGUUCUAACUCUGUCCCGUGAUCCGGGACGAGGACCGUGUCUGGUGGGUAGUUUGACUGGGGCGGUCUCCUCCUAAAGAGUAACGGAGGAGUACGAAGGUGCGCUCAGCGUGGUCGGAAAUCACGCGUAGAGUAUAAAGGCAAAAGCGCGCUUAACUGCGAGACCCACAAGUCGAGCAGGUACGAAAGUAGGUCUUAGUGAUCCGGUGGUUCUGUAUGGAAGGGCCAUCGCUCAACGGAUAAAAGGUACUCUGGGGAUAACAGGCUGAUACCGCCCAAGAGUUCAUAUCGACGGCGGUGUUUGGCACCUCGAUGUCGGCUCAUCUCAUCCUGGGGCUGAAGCAGGUCCCAAGGGUAUGGCUGUUCGCCAUUUAAAGAGGUACGCGAGCUGGGUUUAGAACGUCGUGAGACAGUUCGGUCCCUAUCUACCGUGGGCGCUGGAAAUUUGAGAGGAUCUGCUCCUAGUACGAGAGGACCAGAGUGGACGAACCUCUGGUGUACCGGUUGUGACGCCAGUCGCAUCGCCGGGUAGCUAUGUUCGGAAGGGAUAACCGCUGAAAGCAUCUAAGCGGGAAGCCUACCUCAAGAUAAGAUUUCCCUAGGACUUUAUGUCCUCUAAAGAGCCGUUCGAGACUAGGACGUUGAUAGGUUGGAUGUGGAAGCAUAGUGAUAUGUGAAGCUGACCAAUACUAAUUGCUCGUGAGGCUUGACUAU